Molecule: non-coding RNA, 31 nt
Filed under: Mus musculus (house mouse)
Lineage: Eukaryota; Metazoa; Chordata; Mammalia; Rodentia; Muridae
Source: RNAcentral
UGGUCUUGUAACAACCCAUCUUUUGCCUAUG